Molecule: ribosomal RNA, 253 nt
Filed under: uncultured bacterium
Lineage: Bacteria
Description: partial 16S ribosomal RNA
Rfam family: Bacterial small subunit ribosomal RNA
Source: RNAcentral
UACGUAGGGGGCAAGCGUUGUCCGGAUUUAUUGGGCGUAAAGAGCGUGUAGGCGGCCAGGUAGGUCUGCUGUGAAAACUCGAGGCUUAACCUCGAGAUGUCGGCGGAAACCAUCUGGCUAGAGUCCGGAAGAGGAGAAUGGAAUUCCCGGUGUAGCGGUGAAAUGCGCAGAUAUCGGGAAGAACACCCGUGGCGAAGGCGGUUCUCUGGGACGGUACUGACGCUGAGGUGCGAAAGCGUGGGGAGCAAACAGG